UGUGAUUGGCUCCAGCCUAUAGAAACUUUAAUGUUUUGUUUCUGUUUUUAUUAAAUUUAAAUUUAUGUCUGAAUACUUUCGUAUUCCCAGCAUAUGUACGUAUGCUGACGAAUUUUACAAAAACAUUGGAUCGUGAUCAUAGGAAAAGAAUUGGAAAACCCGAAGUAAUAACUCGAAUGUCGAUUAAUUUCAAUACAUUUCACACAAUUCACCGUGCAGUAAACAGAAUAUAUAUGCCUUUAUAAUUGUAACUUACCGUACAUUUUUGCAAUGAAUGCAUCGUUCCAUUCAUAUACUGAUAUACUAGCGGCACAUCAGCAAGAUUCCUCUAGUCCGGAAAAUUUCCCUUCAGUUGUCGUUGGUUAUAGAACCAGCCACACCAAGGAUAUUGCUGAAAGUAAUUCAAACAUCUCUUCGUCUCAAUUGUCGUUUAUGGAUGAAUCUUCGAAUGAAUUCAACAACCAACAGUUAAUACAUCCCAGCACAUUAGUUAAAGUGUGUGGUGGUUGUGGAGG
Drosophila novamexicana is the source of this 515-nucleotide long non-coding RNA. RefSeq lists it as uncharacterized. The record is from RefSeq and is a predicted model, not a curated record. The transcript is spliced from 3 exons. NCBI's taxonomy places the organism in Eukaryota, Metazoa, Arthropoda, Insecta, Diptera, Drosophilidae.